AUGGCACUCGAAUCCAAGUCCUCGUCGAGGUGUACCACGGAGACGGCGAAGGGAACGCAUGUCUUGGAGAUCGUCGGGUACAGCCUCAAGAAGGGCCUGGGAAUCGGCAAGUUCGUCCAGUCGGCCAUCUUCACCGUCGGCGGCUACGACUGGACCAUCCGUUUCUACCCUGACGGAGCCAACAUGUCAUACGCCGAUUGCGUUUGCGUGUCGGUCUCGCGCGAGCCCACGGGCAGGGGGUUGGCGCGGGCAUCCUGUGAUCUGAGACUGGUUAACAAGGAUACUGGGUUGCCAAAGAGUAUUUGGUUUCUGUCUCAAGCAACCCCGACAGAGUUCGACUACGGUAAUCGUGUUUUCCCAGAAUGUGGAGGGUUCAUUGAAAGGAGUGAGCUGGAGCUGGAAGGAUCAGGCUACAUUAAGGAUGAUAGCUUGACAAUUGAAUGUGUACUCACAGUCAUCAAACAAUCGCAGGUGACAAAAACAACAGGGAGCUCUGAAAUAAAGGUGUCAUCGUCGAACUUAUCAGAUCAUUUCGACAAGCUGUUGUUAGAGGGGUAG
This 558-nucleotide ribosomal RNA is filed under the name Triticum aestivum (bread wheat). RNAcentral describes it as "partial small subunit ribosomal RNA". The record is from RNAcentral. Lineage: Eukaryota; Viridiplantae; Streptophyta; Magnoliopsida; Poales; Poaceae.